UACGAAGGGGGCUAGCGUUGCUCGGAAUCACUGGGCGUAAAGCGCACGUAGGCGGCUUUUUAAGUCAGAGGUGAAAUCCUGGAGCUCAACUCCAGAACUGCCUUUGAUACUGAGAAGCUUGAGUCCGGGAGAGGUGAGUGGAACUGCGAGUGUAGAGGUGAAAUUCGUAGAUAUUCGCAAGAACACCAGUGGCGAAGGCGGCUCACUGGCCCGGUACUGACGCUGAGGUGCGAAAGCGCGGGGAGCAAACAGG
RNAcentral lists this ribosomal RNA (253 nucleotides) under uncultured bacterium. Its description in RNAcentral is "partial 16S ribosomal RNA". It matches the Rfam family "Bacterial small subunit ribosomal RNA", at positions 524 to 776 of the family's 1533-position model. The record is from RNAcentral.